GGAAGGGAUGUAUUUAUUAGAUUAAAAACCAAUGCCCUCUGGGCUCUCUGGUGAUUCAUGAUAACUUCUCGAAUCGCAUGGCCUUGCGCCGGCGAUGGUUCAUUCAAAUUUCUUCCCUAUCAACUUUCGAUGUUUGCCUAUUGGCCAAACAUGGUCGCAACGGGUAACGGAGGGUUAGGGCUCGACCCCGGAGAAGGAACUGAGAAACGGCUACUACAUCCAAGGAAGGCAGCAGGCGCGCAAAUUACCCAGUCCCGACACGGGGAGGUAGUGACAAUAAAUACUCGUACAGGGCUCUUUCGGGUCUUGUAAUUGGAAUGAGUACAAUUUAAAUCCCUUAACGAGUUACAAUUGGAGGGCAAGUCUGGUGCCAGCAGCCGCGGUAAUUCCAGCUCCAAUAGCGUAUAUUAAAGUUGUUGUGGUUAAAAAGCUCGUAGUUGAACCUUGGGCCUGGCUGGCCGGUCCGCCUCACCGCGUGUACUGGUCCGGCCGGGCCUUUCCCUCUGUGGAACCUCAUGCCCUUCACUGGGCGUGACGGGGAAACAGGACUUUUAC
This 555-nucleotide ribosomal RNA is filed under the name uncultured Ophiocordyceps. Its description in RNAcentral is "SSU rRNA". It matches the Rfam family "Eukaryotic small subunit ribosomal RNA", at positions 194 to 755 of the family's 1831-position model. Lineage: Eukaryota; Fungi; Ascomycota; Sordariomycetes; Hypocreales; Ophiocordycipitaceae. The record is from RNAcentral.